GCAAGUCGAGCGCGCCCUUCGGGGUGAGCGGCGGACGGGUGAGUAACGCGUGGGAACGUGCCCUUUGCUGCGGAAUAGCCACUGGAAACGGUGAGUAACACCGCAUGAGCCCUUCGGGGGAAAGAUUUAUCGGCAAAGGAUCGGCCCGCGUUGGAUUAGGUAGUUGGUGGGGUAAUGGCCUACCAAGCCGACGAUCCAUAGCUGGUUUUAGAGGAUGAUCAGCCACACUGGGACUGAGACACGGCCCAGACUCCUACGGGAGGCAGCAGUGGGGAAUCUUAGACAAUGGGCGCAAGCCUGAUCUAGCCAUGCCGCGUGAGUGACGAAGGCCCUAGGGUCGUAAAGCUCUUUCGCCUGUGAUGAUAAUGACAGUAGCAGGUAAAGAAACCCCGGCUAACUCCGUGCCAGCAGCCGCGGUAAUACGGAGGGGGUUAGCGUUGUUCGGAAUUACUGGGCGUAAAGCGCGCGUAGGCGGAUUGGAAAGUUGGGGGUGAAAUCCCGGGGCUCAACCCCGGAACUGCCUCCAAAACUUCCAGUCUGGAGUUCGAGAGAGGUGAGUGGAAUUCCGAGUGUAGAGGUGAAAUUCGUAGAUAUUCGGAGGAACACCAGUGGCGAAGGCGGCUCACUGGCUCGAUACUGACGCUGAGGUGCGAAAGUGUGGGGAGCAAACAGGAUUAGAUACCCUGGUAGUCCACACCGUAAACGAUGAAUGCCAGUCGUCGGCAAGCAUGCUUGUCGGUGACACACCUAACGGAUUAAGCAUUCCGCCUGGGGAGUACGGCCGCAAGGUUACAACUCAAAUGAAUUGACGGAA
RNAcentral lists this ribosomal RNA (814 nucleotides) under uncultured bacterium. RNAcentral's name for it is "bacterial SSU rRNA". It matches the Rfam family "Bacterial small subunit ribosomal RNA", at positions 57 to 918 of the family's 1533-position model. The record is from RNAcentral.